UUCCCUCAGUAGCGGCGAGCGAACAGGGAGAAGCCCAGCUUGAAAAUCGCACCGUUCCGCGAUGCGAGUUGUAGUCUGGAGAAGUGUCCUCUGCAGCGGACCCGGUCUAAGUCCUCUGGAAAGGGGCGUCAGAGAGGGUGAGAACCCCGUCGGGCCGGGACCCUGCUGCUCCACGAGGCACUGUCGACGAGUCGGGCUGUUUGGGAAUGCAGCCCUAAGUGGGAGGUAAAUUCCUUCCAAGGCUAAAUACGGGCGGGAGACCGAUAGCGAACAAGUACCGCGAGGGAAAGAUGAAAAGGACUUUGAAAAGAGAGUUAAAAAGUGCUUGAAAUUGCUGGGAGGGAAGCGAAUGGAGGCCUCGUGUGCGCCCCGGUCGGAUGCGGAACGGCGUGAGCUGGUCCGCCGCUCGACGCGGGGUGCUGGUCGGCGUGGGCUUCUUCGGCGGGAGAAAAGUCGGCCUUUUGUGGCCGGCCGAUGCCGUCGAGGAGGCUGAGGAUCCGAAGUGCGCGCUUCUCGGAGCGAGCCCUGAACCCCUCAAAGGGCUCAGGGUAUUACUGCGUGCUCGGGACGUCGGCGUUGUGGGCUUUUCAUCCGACCCGUCUUGAAACACGGACCAAGGAGUCUAACAUGCGCGCGAGCCGGUGGGCGGCAAACCCACGCGAGGCGAAAAUAACUUGAGAGGUGUGAUCUCCUCCCCCUCGCCCCCUCUCUUCUGGGGGGGGGGGAAAACCAAAGGAAUGCMACAUCGACCGACCAUGAUCUUCUGUGAAAGGUUCGAGUGAGAGCGUGCCUGUUGGGACCCGAAAGAUGGUGAACUAUGCCUGAGCAGGGCGAAGCCAGAGGAAACUCUGGUGGAGGCUCGUAGCGAUACUGACGUGCAAAUCGUUCGUCAGACUCGGGUAUAGGGGCGAAAGACUAAUCGAACCAUCUAGUAGCUGGUUCCCUCCGAAGUUUCCCUCAGGAUAGCCGGAGCAGUCGAGGAGUUUCGUCAGGUAAAGCGAAUGAUUAGAGGCAUCGGGGGUGAAACACCCUCGACCUAUUCUCAAACUUUAAAUAGGCGAGAUCCGGAUUAUACGGGGUUGCUUUGAGGAACCCCCGGCGAUCGACAACA
Molecule: ribosomal RNA, 1111 nt
Filed under: Monoclea forsteri
Lineage: Eukaryota; Viridiplantae; Streptophyta; Marchantiopsida; Marchantiales; Monocleaceae
Description: eukaryotic LSU rRNA
Rfam family: Eukaryotic large subunit ribosomal RNA
Source: RNAcentral